This 465-nucleotide ribosomal RNA is filed under the name uncultured bacterium. Its description in RNAcentral is "bacterial SSU rRNA". It matches the Rfam family "Bacterial small subunit ribosomal RNA", at positions 338 to 795 of the family's 1533-position model. The record is from RNAcentral.
CCUACGGGGUGCACCAGUGGGGAAUAUUGCACAAUGGGCGCAAGCCUGAUGCAGCCAUGCCGCGUGUAUGAAGAAGGCCUUCGGGUUGUAAAGUACUUUCAGCGGGGUGGAAGGCGAUAAGGUUAACAACCUUGUCGAUUGACGUUACCCGCAGAAGAAGCACCGGCUAACUCCGUGCCAGCAGCCGCGGUAGUACGGAGGGUGCAAGCGUUAAUCGGAAUUACUGGGCGUAAAGCGCCCGCAGGCGGUCUGUCAAGUCGGAUGUGAAAUCCCCGGGCUCAACCUGGGAACUGCAUUCGAAACUGGCAGGCUGGAGUCUUGUAGAGGGGGGUAGAAUUCCAGGUGUAGCGGUGAAAUGCGUAGAGAUCUGGAGGAAUACCGGUGGCGAAGGCGGCCCCCUGGACAAAGACUGACGCUCAGGUGCGAAAGCGUGGGGAGCAAACAGGAUUAGAUACCCUCGUAGUC